CAUCUUCUUUUAUUUUACUUAUUUCUAUUGAAAGGAAGGUGAAUUCCAUACAAAUUCUUAAAAGUAUAGUGAAUUGUAAAUAUAUUUCUAUAAUGUUCAAUUUUUAUAUAAUUUUCCUACUAACGUAUUAAUAUUUUCAAAUAUGUCUUUAUGAUUUGUAAUCGUUAAAAUACUGUUUAUUUUACAAGUAAAAUGACUUUUUUACCAUCAUAAAUAUAUACUUCUAAAAAUUCUAACUAAAAAGAUCAUUCGUCUCAUUAACUAAUCAUGAUUAGGUAUUUAAUCUAUGGUUAAUUAAAAUUUUCUAACGGAUUCUAAUAAUAUAGAUAUAUUUGAAAACGUGAGGAUUUUUCGAAGACAACAUAUGAAAGUUGAAUUUUAUAGAGAUAUUUGCAAUUCAUUAUAUUUGCAGGGACUUCUAUACAAUUAACCCAUUGAAAGAAAA
Molecule: long non-coding RNA, 445 nt
Filed under: Ananas comosus (pineapple)
Lineage: Eukaryota; Viridiplantae; Streptophyta; Magnoliopsida; Poales; Bromeliaceae
Description: long non-coding RNA (ACOM_LNC004569)
Source: RNAcentral